This 442-nucleotide ribosomal RNA is filed under the name uncultured bacterium. Its description in RNAcentral is "bacterial SSU rRNA". It matches the Rfam family "Bacterial small subunit ribosomal RNA", at positions 29 to 475 of the family's 1533-position model. The record is from RNAcentral.
AUGAACGCUGGCGGCGUGCUUUACACAUGCAAGUUGAGCGAGGCGGCCCGCAAGGGCCAGUCGAGCGGCGAACGGGUGAGUAACGCGUGGAUUAUCUGCCCUGAGGUGGGGAACAACCAGGGGAAACUCUGGCUAAUACCGCAUGAUACCGAGAGGUCAAAGGGGGCUCGCAAGGGCUCUCGCCACAGGAGGAGUCCGCGUUCGAUUAGCUAGUUGGUAGGGUAAUGGCCUACCAAGGCGACGAUCGAUAGCCGGCCUGAGAGGGUGAUCGGCCACACUGGAACUGAGACACGGUCCAGACUCCUACGGGAGGCAGCAGUGGGGAAUUUGCGCAAUGGGCUAACGCCUGACGCAGCAACGCCGCGUGGAGGAUGAAGGUCUUUGGAUUGUAAACUCCUGUCGGCAGGGAAAAAGCGACACGACCUAAUACGUCGAGGAGUUG